RNAcentral lists this ribosomal RNA (323 nucleotides) under uncultured soil bacterium. RNAcentral's name for it is "bacterial SSU rRNA". It matches the Rfam family "Bacterial small subunit ribosomal RNA", at positions 26 to 351 of the family's 1533-position model. The record is from RNAcentral.
AGAUUGAACGCUGGCGGCAUGCCUUACACAUGCAAGUCGAACGGCAGCACGGGGGCAACCCUGGUGGCGAGUGGCGAACGGGUGAGUAAUGCAUCGGAACGUGCCCAGUAGUGGGGGAUAACUAGUCGAAAGAUUAGCUAAUACCGCAUACGACCUAUGGGUGAAAGCGGGGGAUUCGCAAGAACCUCGCGCUAUCGGAGCGGCCGAUGUCUGAUUAGCUAGUUGGCGGGUAAAGCCCACCAAGUCUUCGAUCAGUAGCUGGUCUGAGAGGACGACCAGCCACACUGGGACUGAGACACGGCCCAGACUCCGUACGGGAGCAG